This 1714-nucleotide ribosomal RNA is filed under the name marine metagenome. RNAcentral's name for it is "bacterial LSU rRNA". It matches the Rfam family "Bacterial large subunit ribosomal RNA", at positions 592 to 2505 of the family's 2925-position model. The record is from RNAcentral.
AGUGACAGUGUACCUUUUGCAUAAUGGGUCAGCGACUAAAUGAAACAAGUAUGCGUAAGCAGUGAUGUGGACGCAGAGCAAAAGCAAGUCGACAAUGGCAUGAUAUUUGGUUCAUUUGACCCGAAACUAAGUGAUCUUAUCUUGAACAGGUUGAAGAAAGCGUAAUGUCUUUUGGAGGACCGAACCGACGUCUGUAGCAAUAGACGCGGAUGAUUUGAGAUAAGGGGUGAAAGGCCAAUCAAACUUAGAAAUAGCUGGUUCUUCGCGAAAUUUAUUGAGGUAAAGCGUCUAUUAAAUCUUUCUGGGGGUAGAGCACUUAUUGAGCUAUGGGGGUCCAAAACCUUACUGCUCUCAAGAAAACUCCGAAUACCAGUAAAGUAUAAUAGGCAGACAGACAAGCAGUGCUAAGGUUGCUUGUCGAAAGGGAAACAGCCCAGCCUGGCCGCUAAGGUCCCAAAGCAUUCUGUGAGUGGGAAAAGAUGUGAUACAACUAUGACAACUAGGAGGUUGGCUUGGAAGCAGCCAUUCUAUCAUGAAAGCGUAAUAGCUCACUAGUCGAGUUGUCUUGCGCUGAAAAUGUAUCGGGGCUGAACAGAAUCACCGAAGCGCCAGUUUUUAGGUAGCGAAGCGUUUUGUGCGCCAAUGAACACAUAUCGUAAGAUGUGUGGAAGGUCUCAAAAGUGACUAUGCUGACAUGAGUAACGAAAAAUCAUGUAAAGCCAUGAUCGCCGUAAGUUCAAGGGUUUCUGCUAACUGGGAAUCAGUGCAGAGUUAAGUUCGGUCCCUAAGAGUUUGUAUACACUUAUACGCUCGAUGGAGGACGUUUAUGCAAGACGGCUAUCUAAUACACAAAUACUGCAAAAUGGAUACGGUGUAUGUGUGUCAUAGUCCAGGAAAAAAGCAUUAAUGCAAGACCGUACCCGAAACCGACACAGGUGAACGAGUCGAGUAGACUCAGGCGUUGAGUGAACCAUAUUGAAGGAACUCGGCAAAAUAUUCCCGUACCUUAGGAAGAAGGGAUACCGAAAGGUGACACAAAAAUGGGGGUGACGACUUUUUACUAAAAAAUUAGGACUCUGCAAAAUGGUAACAUGAAGUAUAGGGUCUGACGUCUGCCCGGUGCUAGAAGUAUAAAAGGAGUGUUGAAAGAUACGAAUGGAAAGCCUAGUAAACGGCGGUUGUAACUAUAACAAUCAUAAAGUAGCGAAAUUCAUUGCCAGCUAAUUCCUGGCCUGCAUGAAAGACGUAACGAUUGCCCCACUGUCUCCAGUAUGGACUCAGUGAAAUUGAAUUCUCCGUGCAGAUGCGGAGUACGUGCCCCAAGACGAGAAGACCCUGUGCAUCUUUACUGUACAUUUGCAUUGACAAAACGAUGAGCAUGCGUAGGAUAGGUGGGAGUACAUACAUCCUUGAAAUACCACCCUUGCCAUGGAUUUUGUCUUACACCAAAUUUGGUGCACAAUGCAUGUGAGGCAGUUUGACUGGGGCGGUCGCCUCCUAAAAGGUAACGGAGGCGUGCGAAGGUAAACUCAAUGCAAGACGGAAACUUGCUGAAGAGCGUAAUGGUAUAUGUUUGCCUGACUGUAAGAUGUACACAUCAAACAGAGACGAAAGUCGGCCAUAAUGAUCCACAAGUGCCGUGUGGAAGGGCUUGUGCUUAACGAAUCAAAGAUACGCCAGGGAUAACAGGCUGAUAAUUCCCAAGAGUCCUUAU